CCUACGGGAGGCAGCAGUGGGGAAUUUUCCGCAAUGGGCGCAAGCCUGACGGAGCAAGACCGCGUGGGGGAGGAAGGCUCUUGGGUUGUAAACCCCUUUUCUCAAGGAAGAACACAAUGACGGUACUUGAGGAAUAAGCCUCGGCUAACUCCGUGCCAGCAGCCGCGGUAAU
RNAcentral lists this ribosomal RNA (172 nucleotides) under uncultured bacterium. RNAcentral describes it as "partial 16S ribosomal RNA". It matches the Rfam family "Bacterial small subunit ribosomal RNA", at positions 338 to 524 of the family's 1533-position model. The record is from RNAcentral.